This 454-nucleotide ribosomal RNA is filed under the name uncultured bacterium. RNAcentral describes it as "bacterial SSU rRNA". It matches the Rfam family "Bacterial small subunit ribosomal RNA", at positions 335 to 781 of the family's 1533-position model. The record is from RNAcentral.
ACUCCUACGGGAGGCAGCAGUGGGGAAUAUUGCACAAUGGGGGAAACCCUGAUGCAGCCAUGCCGCGUGUGUGAAGAAGGCCUUCGGGUUGUAAAGCACUUUCAGCGAGGAGGAAAGGGUGUAAGUUAAUACCUUACAUCUGUGACGUUACUCGCAGAAGAAGCACCGGCUAACUCCGUGCCAGCAGCCGCGGUAAUACGGAGGGUGCGAGCGUUAAUCGGAAUUACUGGGCGUAAAGCGUGCGCAGGCGGUUUGUUAAGCGAGAUGUGAAAGCCCCGGGCUCAACCUGGGAACCGCAUUUCGAACUGGCAAACUAGAGUCUUGUAGAGGGGGUAGAAUUCCAGGUGGUAGCGUGAAAUGCGUAGAGAUCUGGAGGAAUACCGGUGGCGAAGGCGGCCCCCCUGGACAAAGACUGACGCUCAGGCACGAAAGCGUGGGGAGCAAACAGGAUUAG